This is a non-coding RNA of Chiloscyllium plagiosum (whitespotted bambooshark), 1065 nucleotides long. The record is from RefSeq and is a predicted model, not a curated record. Lineage: Eukaryota; Metazoa; Chordata; Chondrichthyes; Orectolobiformes; Hemiscylliidae.
CUUGCUAUUGUCUGAAUACGGAAGUUUGACCAUGAGCUUCUGAAGCUGCUCCUGCUGUUGUUCCUCUCUGAAGAAAGAUUGAGCUUCACCCCAGACUGCAACUUUCUUCUUCUGUCCAACAUCUGACGGAUUCCAGCAUCUGUCGCAAUGCGCUCCGAAAUGUUGGCUACCUCUUUGCAGAUCCUUCGAGACUCGACCUUACUCAACAAUCCACCGUGCGGUACAGUCAAUAAAGUUCCACAUUGCAUCUCUUUCAGCACACAGGGGCUGCACGGUGGCUCAGUGCUGCCUCACAGCACCAGGGACAGGGAUUUGAAUCCAGCUUCAGUGCAUUUGAAGAUCUGUAGACUCAAGUUUCAAAAUCAACAGAUGAAGGGCUUAUGCCCGAAACAGCAACUCUCCUGCUCCUUGGAUGCUGCCUGACCUGCUGUGUAUUUCCAGCACCACACAUUUUGACUGACACUCCAGCGUCUGCAGUCCUCAUUUUCAUGUCAAUGACAGACAGUCAAUCAAUCCAUUGGGACUGUAACGAUUUUUGACUACGAUUCUGUGAGAAGGAGCAAAAUUCUUUGGUACAUUUUCAGCAUCAGUGGAGCUGGAUGAGAGACGCUACUGUGGCAGCGCAUUGAGUGUGGAGCCUGUAACAAUUAUACGGCCUGGAAAGAGGAAUUCACGGCAGGGAGGGGCUGUACAUGCAUUUGUGAACAGCUGAAGCUUUGGCCAUGGAGAAACCAGAGGAAUCUCGCCCCAUGGAGAAACCGUGGAAGUGUUGCGACUGCAGGAAAGGCUUCAUUGUCCCGUCUACCAUGGAAAUUCAUCAGCGCAGUCACACCAGGGAGAGGCUGUUCUCCUGCCCAGAGUGUGGGAAAGGCUUUAUCCGCUCUUCCCACCUACUGGACCACUGCGGGUCCACACUGGGGAGAGAUCAUUCACCUGCCCCGAGUGCGGGAACAGCUUCACCCACUCCUCCCACUUGCUGGCGCACCAGCGUGUCCACACCGGGGAGAGGCCCUUCCCCUGCUCUGAUUGUGGGAAGGCCUUCAGCAAAUCCUCCGACCCGCUGAA